Dermacentor albipictus is the source of this 491-nucleotide non-coding RNA. Lineage: Eukaryota; Metazoa; Arthropoda; Arachnida; Ixodida; Ixodidae. The record is from RefSeq and is a predicted model, not a curated record.
CACAAAUUCAGUCGCAGUAAUUCGUCGGCGUCAACAGAGCACGUACCUCGCAGAUCUUCUGUCCUUACCAGCCAGGUGCAGCAAAAUGAGGUCGGCGCUGCUUGUUUUUGUCCUGGCUUUAGCUGUCGCCACUCCUUGCAUCACGCACCCCACAAGUGAAACCAAACAGAAGGACGCAGAAGAGAACUCACUCAAACAAGAUGGACGUGCUUUAGAAACGCUGGGAAAGAUUUUGCAAGGAAAAGAUACCACGGCUGAAGGGCGUACAGCUCUUGCUGAACUAGCGAGUCAACUAAGGGCCUUCCAUGGCACAGACACCCAACUGGAUGAGAAUGCCUCUGAGUACUUCUUCAAGAAGAUCCGGAGGGUGGUCGAGAACGUGGCUAAAGUAGUUGUAGUAAACAAAGGUGCUGCUGCCGUCGGUGGAAUGAUUGGAUAACGAUGAUUAGUAAGAGGAAUCUGCAUCUUCGCUGUAUAAAUUAUAUGUAUUG